GCAUAAUCUCUGAGGAGAAAAGCAGGGGAUCUUAGACCUUGUGCUUUUGGAGCGGCCGAUGCCUGAUUAGCUAGUUGGUGGGGUAAAGGCCUACCAAGGCUUCGAUCAGUAGUUGGUCUGAGAGGACGACCAGCCACACUGGGACUGAGACACGGCCCAGACUCCUACGGGAGGCAGCAGUGGGGAAUUUUGGACAAUGGGGGCAACCCUGAUCCAGCCAUGCCGCGUGAGUGAAGAAGGCCUUCGGGUUGUAAAGCUCUUUCAGUCGGGAAGAAAAGGUUGCGGUUAAUAACCGUAACUCAUGACGGUACCG
RNAcentral lists this ribosomal RNA (313 nucleotides) under uncultured beta proteobacterium. RNAcentral's name for it is "bacterial SSU rRNA". It matches the Rfam family "Bacterial small subunit ribosomal RNA", at positions 171 to 480 of the family's 1533-position model. Lineage: Bacteria; Pseudomonadati; Pseudomonadota; Betaproteobacteria. The record is from RNAcentral.